GGUUGCUUAGUUUAAACAAAACAGAUGUUUUGAAAACAUCAGAUAAGAAGACUUCUCUUAACAAUCG
RNAcentral lists this transfer RNA (67 nucleotides) under Ocypode cordimanus. Its description in RNAcentral is "tRNA-Ser". Lineage: Eukaryota; Metazoa; Arthropoda; Malacostraca; Decapoda; Ocypodidae. The record is from RNAcentral.